Long non-coding RNA from Nerophis lumbriciformis (worm pipefish), 964 nucleotides. RefSeq lists it as uncharacterized. Lineage: Eukaryota; Metazoa; Chordata; Actinopteri; Syngnathiformes; Syngnathidae. The record is from RefSeq and is a predicted model, not a curated record.
CAGUGAUCAUUUGCUUGCACUUUUAACAUGGAGGGUUACAUAUCUAAAAUAAAACAGUUUUCUAAACUGGACUUUCAAUCAAAGCAGGAGGUAAUACUUAAAAAAAGAUCUCCAUCGAGACAGAGAGACUUUUAAAACUGAAGAAAGAUAAGGAAGACUUCUUUAAACAAGUUAUCGAUGCUUUUGAUCAGAAGCAGCUGUGCAUGGACUCAUAAGUAAAGCUCGGCUGGCACCUCCGCUGGAAGCGCGCCAGGACACGCCCCUGCUCGCUCUGGCCGUAAUUGCGGCCGUGCGCCGACAAAGCUGCGGGCAAUCAGUAAUCAGCGCACCUGGGACUAAUGAGGGCAGGCAGCAUAAAGACCAGCGGACCCGAGGAUCAAGUGCCGGAACGUAGUUCACUCUUUGUAUGCCUCCCCUGUUUCCUGUGCUCGAGCUGUGUGCCUCGACUUCCCUCCGGAUUCUGGACUCCUUCCCUCGAUCCUCGACCCCUGUUUGGACACGGACCUCGUUGCUUCUCUCCAGCCACCGACCGCUUGCCUGCCCGCGGACUGCCUUCUCGCCUUACCCCUUUGGUCUGACGAAGGAUUCAUCCAACACGCACAUACAACAACCUCUGGUAACAUUUACGUGGUUAAAGGCCUACUGAAAUGUGAUUUUCUUAUUUAAACGGGGAUAGCAGGUGCAUUCUAUGUGUCAUACUUGAUCAUUUCGCGAUAUUGCCAUAUAGAUUUCGUAGAGAACAUCGACGAUAAAGUUUGCAACUUUUGGUCGCUGAUAAAAAAAGCCUUGCCUGUACCGGAAGUAGCAGACGAGUAGCGUGACGUCACAGGUUGUGGAGCUCCUCACAUCCGCACAUUGUUUACAAUCAUGGCCACCAGCAGCGAGAGCGAUUUGGACCGAGAAAGCGACGAUUUCCCCAUUAAUUUGAGCGAGGAUGAAAGAUUCAUGGAUGAGGAAAGUGAGA